GUUGAUAUGUUAGUCGGAGCAGCGUUGGGAUCCGUCGGGUGGAUGCUCACUUUCUUGAAUUCUCUCGCCGACUGAAAAGCAGACUCAGAAGCAGGUUUCUUUGAACACAUUAGGUCGACAGGAUCUGUGGUCUUCUUGUACUCGUCGAGCUCCACCAUUGCCAUCUGCUGAUCGGCGAUUUUGGAGCCCUGCUGCAGGCACUCUUCUGCU
Molecule: long non-coding RNA, 210 nt
Filed under: Hordeum vulgare
Lineage: Eukaryota; Viridiplantae; Streptophyta; Magnoliopsida; Poales; Poaceae
Description: long non-coding RNA (HVUL_LNC012314)
Source: RNAcentral